GGCCUGGUGGUGUAUGGUGCACGCCCGCAUCUCUUGGUGUAGAGAGAGACUACGUAAUCAAUAUUGCGCGGGAGGGCCCUGUUCGACUCGGGGGCAGGCCG
Molecule: non-coding RNA, 101 nt
Organism: Mycena crocata
Lineage: Eukaryota; Fungi; Basidiomycota; Agaricomycetes; Agaricales; Mycenaceae
Source: the annotation of a GenBank genome assembly